RNAcentral lists this unclassified non-coding RNA (278 nucleotides) under Neocrinula sp. RNAcentral's name for it is "partial contains 5.8S ribosomal RNA, internal transcribed spacer 2, and large subunit ribosomal RNA". The stretch from base 1 to 71 matches the Rfam family "5.8S ribosomal RNA", at positions 84 to 154 of the family's 154-position model. Lineage: Eukaryota; Fungi; Ascomycota; Leotiomycetes; Helotiales; Neocrinulaceae. The record is from RNAcentral.
GUGAGUCAUCGAAUCUUUGAACGCACAUUGCGCCCUUUGGUAUUCCGAAGGGCAUGCCUGUUCGAGCGUCAUUACAACCCUCAAGCUCUGCUUGGUAUUGGGUCUUGCCAGCAAUGGUAGACCUCAAAAUCAGUGGCGGUGCCACCUGGCCCUACGCGCAGUAAAACUCUCGCUCUAGGUGCUGGGUGGAUGCUUGCCAGCUAACCCCCACUUCUAAAGGUUGACCUCGGAUCAGGUAGGGAUACCCGCUGAACUUAAGCAUAUCAAUAAGCGGAGGA